ACAUGCAGAGAACUUCCUAGAGAUGGAUUGGUGCCUUCGGGAACUCUGACACAGGUGCUGCAUGGCUGUCGUCAGCUCGUGUCGUGAGAUGUUGGGUUAAGUCCCGUAACGAGCGCAACCCUUGUCCUUAGUUACCAGCAUGUUAUGGUGGGCACUCUAAGGAGACUGCCGGUGACAAACCGGAGGAAGGUAGGGGAUGACGUCAAGUCAUCAUGGCCCUUACGGCCUGGGCUACACACGUGCUACAAUGGUCGGUACAAAGGGUUGCCAAGCCGCGAGGUGGAGCUAAUCCCAUAAAACCGAUCGUAGUCCGGAUCGCAGUCUGCAACUCGACUGCGUGAAGUCGGAAUCGCUAGUAAUCGUGAAUCAGAAUGUCACGGUGAAUACGUUCCCGGGCCUU
This 400-nucleotide ribosomal RNA is filed under the name uncultured Pseudomonas sp. Its description in RNAcentral is "bacterial SSU rRNA". It matches the Rfam family "Bacterial small subunit ribosomal RNA", at positions 984 to 1382 of the family's 1533-position model. Lineage: Bacteria; Pseudomonadati; Pseudomonadota; Gammaproteobacteria; Pseudomonadales; Pseudomonadaceae. The record is from RNAcentral.